GUCUCCAUGCUACCUCAUGGGUCCCAUGUGCAAAUUCAGAGGGAGUUAGAAUGAAACCUGCAGUGGAAAUUCAGGCUCUGACGUCAGCAACCUCGUUUUGCAAAAGCUCCAGUUGGCCACCUUGGUUCCAACUGAUUUCAGCCGGCUUUUCUUGAUCUCACAAGCAGAGGGAGUUUCAGUGUUUCAGCGAGUUGGUUUUUUUCUUAUCUGCUACUCUGCAAACACAAGAAUUUCUGUUAGCUACUAGUUUCUUACUCUUUGGAGUGCCGUUUCAGUUUCAGCUUUUCACCAAGUUGUUUCUUAUCCGCUACCCUGUAAGCCCAAGAAUUUAGUCAUUGGUUUCUUUAACGGUUGGAGGAGGCAGGGUGUCAGCACCCAUCUGCCCCCAGUAGUGGGGACAAUUGACCUUAGUCUUAUGUGAAGUGCCAGUAAGAUGCAGCUUAGCCCCCUCACUCCAUAGACAAUGCACUGGACUGUCUCUGCCACAGCCCAGGACUGCGUCCUGGCAUCCCUGACCAUUUCAACCCCCAUUUUAGUGUUCUUUCCUCCUCACUGCCAGAAAGCCAUUUUAGGCAGCUUGUGGGUGUUUUUUAGAAGCGAUGUGUGUGUGAGAUGAAGGAGGCUUCCCUUUGUUUUGGCUUUAAACCUGUCUGUGUAAGUGAGAGUGAGUGGAAAGCUAUGGCUCCUCUCUCCAACACUCCCAAGGCAGGCAGCCCUGACCUCCUCAAUUGCAGAUCAGAAGGGGGCCUUUGGAAAUUAUCCAGACCAGUGAAUCUCACCAUUUUUCUCCCCUGCCACAUCAUACAUGAUGGAUGAAGUCCACAUGCUUAACAGGAUUCCAUGCAUGCACUUAUUUUGAUGGAACAGCCAAAAACAUUCUGUGAGGAAGUAAUUGUCCUCAGGAAAGGGAAUAAUGGUUGCCUCGGCAUGGGGUGGAGGCCCCUGAGUGUACUCUGCCAUGAGACCCCUUCCUUCCCACUCAGGAUGUAUUUCGAAUGCAGAAUUGAAAUAUCAUGGGACCCUCUUCUCAGGGAAAGAAAGGGGGAAAUUUGA
Molecule: long non-coding RNA, 1053 nt
Organism: Pan paniscus (pygmy chimpanzee)
Lineage: Eukaryota; Metazoa; Chordata; Mammalia; Primates; Hominidae
Source: Ensembl